This 264-nucleotide ribosomal RNA is filed under the name uncultured bacterium. RNAcentral describes it as "partial 16S ribosomal RNA". It matches the Rfam family "Bacterial small subunit ribosomal RNA", at positions 91 to 353 of the family's 1533-position model. The record is from RNAcentral.
CGGACCGGCGCACGGGUGAGUAACACGUAUCCAACCUGCCGUCUACUCUUGGACAGCCUUCUGAAAGGAAGAUUAAUACAAGAUGGCAUCAUGAGUCCGCAUGUUCACAUGAUUAAAGGUAUUCCGGUAGACGAUGGGGAUGCGUUCCAUUAGAUAGUAGGCGGGGUAACGGCCCACCUAGUCUUCGAUGGGUAGGGGUUCUGAGAGGAAGGUCCCCCACAUUGGAACUGAGACACGGUCCAAACUCCUACGGGAGGCAGCAUG